UGGAUGAGUGAUUUGUGGACGAGUGAUGUGUGGUUGGGUGAUUUGUGGACGGGUGAUAUGUGGAUGAGUGAUGAAUAAUGUGUGGAUAUGUGAUGUUAAUGUGUUUAUAGUAGAUAACGUGGACAAACUCUCUGUUUUGAUUCCAUAAAACUAUACAACAAUACAUUGACAUGAACUUGUAUUACUAAAAUUAUACCAUAAAACGUGGACACGGACUCUGUUAUCUCCAA
RNAcentral lists this long non-coding RNA (230 nucleotides) under Brassica napus (rape). RNAcentral describes it as "long non-coding RNA (BNAP_LNC004398)". Lineage: Eukaryota; Viridiplantae; Streptophyta; Magnoliopsida; Brassicales; Brassicaceae. The record is from RNAcentral.